Cavia porcellus (domestic guinea pig) is the source of this 1474-nucleotide long non-coding RNA. RefSeq lists it as uncharacterized. The transcript is spliced from 3 exons. NCBI's taxonomy places the organism in Eukaryota, Metazoa, Chordata, Mammalia, Rodentia, Caviidae. The record is from RefSeq and is a predicted model, not a curated record.
ACGUUUAUGUGAUUCUAAAUACCACUCUCAGCUCAGAAGAACAGAACCAGCUGUGGCAAGCAGUUCGAGAAAAAGCUGAUCACAGACAUAAGAUUCGACACCGACAGAAAAUCACUGCUGAAGACUGAGAAGACUCAGGGCCAGCAGCCCCCAUUGUGGGUGUCCAUCUCAGAGUCCAAGUUCCACUAAAACUCUCAGUCUGACAUACGUGCAUUCAACAGUGAAGUUGUCCUGGCUAAAACACCUGGCACCAGAGUCUACCUGGACAUCAACCUUCAUCCUGUCGACUCCCCGAGGCUCCAGUUCAGUACCCUCUGCCAGCAGGAAGUAGUUAAAGAGAGAAAUCUUUGCCCCUUUUCAUAAUAAUAAUCAUAAGACGGGAUAUGAAAGGGUUUUGGCCCAGAUAGGACACUGUAGCCAGAAAAGCCACAACUGGAAGCAUAAAGCCCCAUCUUCCAUGCCCCUAGGAAGUUACCUGUGAUGCCAUCUUCCCACCCCUGGAAAUUUACAUAUGGCGCCAAACCUAGGACCAAUGGGCUACCUGUGCAUCCCUAAUGCAUGCCUUAGGUUCCACCCCAAACUGAGGCUAUUUACAGGCCCCCACACCACGUGUCCACCAGGGAGAGCGCCGGACGCCAGCGGUGGGGGUGCCGGUCAUCUCUCUCCAUGUUCUCAGAUUAAAGGCCACUUUUUAUUUUAUAUUUCUCAUCUUUUGUUAAUAUUUUUCAUCUUUUGGAAAUAACCCUAGCAGGCAUCAUAAUGAAUCCCACUAUCUUCACAGCUGUUGCCUAAACUUUCAAACCUGGUACUAUCAAGCAAAACAGAAUAGAGGAACAUCAGUCAAAACAAGAUUGUGAGAGCAAUACAGGGCUUUAAAUCAAGAUAAUGGAAAGUCAAAGUGGGUUACUAUAAUAUAUCCUGCUAUUUUAAAAUUUAUUUUUCCCUUAAUUAAAAGGAUAAAAAAGUAAAUAAUAAAAUGGAGAUUGAGAUAAAAGUGGGCAUAACAGCAAAUCAGCACAGAUCAAAACCUAACCAUUUAAGCAAAAUAGUGUUUCACCACAAGAUAAUCCUGACAUAAAUGUAGUUACCAUAUUGUCUCUUUCCUUGAAAUCUUUGAGUAUAACUUCAUAUACCGUAGCAUCAAAUAUAUCAAAACAAUGUAAAACCAUUUAAGAGAAUGACAGCAUUACAGGGUAUUUAGAAUCAACUAACAUAAAAUGAACAAUGGUUUCUGUAUAAUCUCCUUGUCUAUAAAAGGUUUUGCUCAUACUAUCAUAUAUAAUAAAAUCCAAUAAGAUACCACCUGUUUAGACCAAUGGAGACAGAAGAACAAAAGCUUGAUGAGCCUUCAAAACAAGAUGAUACUAAAUCAGUAUUACCUCUUAAGACAUCAUUUUCUCCAAAAUAGCUGUUCCUAUCAUCCAAUCUUCUCUGCCUCAUUUCUGUUGAGCUCUUUUUCUGUCAUUAGUUGUCA